This 253-nucleotide ribosomal RNA is filed under the name uncultured bacterium. Its description in RNAcentral is "partial 16S ribosomal RNA". It matches the Rfam family "Bacterial small subunit ribosomal RNA", at positions 524 to 776 of the family's 1533-position model. The record is from RNAcentral.
UACGUAGGGGGCUAGCGUUGUCCGGAUUUAUUGGGCGUAAAGAGCGUGUAGGCGGCCAGGUAGGUCUGGUGUGAAAACUCGAGGCUUAACCUCGAGAUGUCAUCGGAAACCAUCUGGCUAGAGUCCGGAAGAGGAGAGUGGAAUUCCUGGUGUAGCGGUGAAAUGCGCAGAUAUCAGGAAGAACACCAAUGGCGAAGGCAGCUCUCUGGGACGGUACUGACGCUGAGACGCGAAAGCGUGGGGAGCGAACAGG